Molecule: non-coding RNA, 45 nt
Organism: Schistosoma rodhaini
Lineage: Eukaryota; Metazoa; Platyhelminthes; Trematoda; Strigeidida; Schistosomatidae
Source: Rfam
AUCCAACUGACGAGUUCAAUUUAGGUUGAAACGCGCGUCUUGGAU